Molecule: ribosomal RNA, 538 nt
Filed under: Sphedanolestes sp. 00019767
Lineage: Eukaryota; Metazoa; Arthropoda; Insecta; Hemiptera; Reduviidae
Description: partial 16S ribosomal RNA
Rfam family: Bacterial large subunit ribosomal RNA
Source: RNAcentral
UAUCAAAAACAUGUCCUUUUGUGUUUAAAUAUAAGGUCUAACCUGCCCAGUGAUUAAUUAAAUGGCCGCGGUAUUUUAACUGUGCUAAGGUAGCAUAAUCAUUUGUCUUUUAAUUGAAGGCUAGAAUGAAUGGUUGGACGAGGUAUAUGCUUUCUUUAACUUAGUUAUUGAAUUUAAUUUUUUAGUUAAAAAGCUAAAAUUUAUUUGAGGGACGAGAAGACCCUAUAGAUCUUUAUAUAUCUAUUUAUCAUAUAUUUUAGUAAAUCAAUUAUCUUGAUAAAUUUGUAUAUUUGGUUGGGGCGAUUGUGGAAUUUUAAUAACUUCUAUUUAUAUAGUUUUCAGUGAUUUUUGUUUAUUUGAUCCAUUAUUAGUGAUUAUAAGAUUAAGUUACCUUAGGGAUAACAGCGUAAUUUCUUUGGAGAGUUCAUAUCGAUGAAGGAGUUUGCGACCUCGAUGUUGGAUUAAAAUAAGUAAUAGGUGCAGGAGCUUAUUUACUAGGUCUGUUCGACCUUUAAUUUUUUACAUGAUCUGAGUUCAA